UACGUAGGUGGCAAGCGUUGUCCGGAUUUACUGGGCGUAAAGAGCGCGCAGGCGGUCGUUCAAGUCGCGUGUGAAAGCCCCCGGCUCAACUGGGGAGGGUCACGCGAUACUGAUCGACUCGAAGGCAGGAGAGGGAAGUGGAAUUCCCGGUGUAGUGGUGAAAUGCGUAGAUAUCGGGAGGAACACCAGUGGCGAAGGCGACUUCCUGGCCUGUUCUUGACGCUGAGGCGCGAAAGCCAGGGGAGCAAACGGG
This 253-nucleotide ribosomal RNA is filed under the name uncultured bacterium. RNAcentral describes it as "partial 16S ribosomal RNA". It matches the Rfam family "Bacterial small subunit ribosomal RNA", at positions 524 to 776 of the family's 1533-position model. The record is from RNAcentral.